GAUGAACGCUGGCGGCGUGCCUAAUACAUGCAAGUCGAGCGAACGGACGAGAAGCUUGCUUCUCUGAUGUUAGCGGCGGACGGGUGAGUAACACGUGUAUAACCUACCUAUAAGACUGGGAUAACUUCGGGAAACCGUAGCUAAUACCGGAUAAUAUUUUGAACCGCAUGGUUCAAAAGUGAAAGACGGUCUUGCUGUCACUUAUAGAUGGAUCCGCGCUGCAUUAGCUAGUUGGUAAGGUAACGGCUUACCAAGGCAACGAUGCAUAGCCGACCUGAGAGGGUGAUCGGCCACACGGGGACUGAGACACGGUCCAGACUCCUACGGGAGGCAGCAGUAGGGAAUCUUCCGCAAUGGGCGAAAGCCUGACGGAGCAACGCCGCGUGAGUGAUGAAGGUCUUCGGAUCGUAAAACUCUGUUAUUAGGGAAGAACAGAUGUGGAAGUAACUGUGCACAUCUUGACGGUACCUAAUCAGAAAGCCACGGCUAACUACGUG
RNAcentral lists this ribosomal RNA (497 nucleotides) under uncultured bacterium. Its description in RNAcentral is "partial 16S ribosomal RNA". It matches the Rfam family "Bacterial small subunit ribosomal RNA", at positions 28 to 507 of the family's 1533-position model. The record is from RNAcentral.